RNAcentral lists this ribosomal RNA (817 nucleotides) under Podosphaera xanthii. RNAcentral's name for it is "eukaryotic LSU rRNA". It matches the Rfam family "Eukaryotic large subunit ribosomal RNA", at positions 83 to 919 of the family's 3401-position model. Lineage: Eukaryota; Fungi; Ascomycota; Leotiomycetes; Helotiales; Erysiphaceae. The record is from RNAcentral.
GUAACGGCGAGUGAAGCGGUAACAGCUCAAAUUUGAAAUCUGGCUCCUCGGGGCCCGAAUUGUAAUUUGUAGAAGAUGCUUUGGGUCUGGGCCUGGCCUAAGUUCCUUGGAACAGGACGUCGUAGAGGGUGAGAAUCCCGUAUGCGGCUGGCGCCCGUGCCCGUGUAAAGCUCUUUCAACGAGUCGAGUUGUUUGGGAAUGCAGCUCUAAAUGGGUGGUAAAUUUCAUCUAAAGCUAAAUAUUGGCCAGAGACCGAUAGCGCACAAGUAGAGUGAUCGAAAGAUGAAAAGCACUUUGGAAAGAGAGUUAAACAGUACGUGAAAUUGUUGAAAGGGAAGCGCUGGCAACCAGACUUGGGCGCUGUUGAUCCGCUAGGGUUCUCUCUAGGGCACUCGGCAGUGCGCAGGCCAGCAUCGGUUUGGGGGGUUGGAGAAUGGCUGGUGGAAUGUGGCUGUCUUUGGGCAGUGUUAUAGCCACCGGUGGCAUGCAGCCUCCCCGGACCGAGGACCGCGCUUCGGCUAGGAUGCUGGCGUAAUGGUUGUCAGCGACCCGUCUUGAAACACGGACCAAGGAGUCUAACAUCUAUGCGAGUGUUUGGGUGUUAAACCCAUACGCGGAAUGAAAGUGAACGUAGGUGAGAACCCGCAAGGGUGCAUCAUCGACCGAUCCUGAUGUCUUCGGAUGGAUUUGAGUAAGAGCAUAGCUGUUGGGACCCGAAAGAUGGUGAACUAUGCCUGAAUAGGGUGAAGCCAGAGGAAACUCUGGUGGAGGCUCGCAGCGGUUCUGACGUGCAAAUCGAUCGUCAAAUUUGGGUAUA